Manis pentadactyla (Chinese pangolin) is the source of this 4116-nucleotide long non-coding RNA. RefSeq lists it as uncharacterized. NCBI's taxonomy places the organism in Eukaryota, Metazoa, Chordata, Mammalia, Pholidota, Manidae. The record is from RefSeq and is a predicted model, not a curated record. The transcript is spliced from 3 exons.
AACCAGCCCUUUGCUUCCCAAAGUGCAGGUCACACGUGAAGGUGGUUUUAGGUGGUACCUAGAAGAUAACGUUUUAUUCUAGCAGUUAUGUAAUUAUCUCAAUGAGUAUUAGAAAAAAUGUGACUAGCACAUAAACUCCAUGAUUGCAUGGAUGUUAUUAACAUUGAGGAUAAGUAGGAGGGAAGGGAGUAUAUGUAAAGAAAAAUAUUAAUAAAAGUACAAAUGGCACUCAGAAAUGGUAGAAAUGUUAGAAGUGCUGUGUACCAAUUAUGUUGGUUUAGGACCCCUGAGGCCAUUGACAUCUAAGGUACCUUCAGAUCUGACAUUUGUAAACUACUUGGCCUUCUCCAGAUUUCAGCCUCCCGUGGGCCGAGGGGCGUGUACGUACUGACAGGGGCUCUCAGGGCUCUGCCGGUGGGGUGGGGCCACGGUGGCUCAAACCGGGCACCAGAUGGAUGCUUGCCCACCCCAGAAGGACUGUGGUGGCCAGGAGGGUGGCAGUGAGCCAGACUGCCAGGUCCAAGUCCCAGUGCUGACGCUUCUGGGCUGCAUAAAUGUGGGCAAAUUAAUCUGUUUUCACUCCCUCAGCUGAAAAAUGGGAAUAGUAACUUAUAGGGGCAGUGCAAGGGGUCAAUGUGAGUGCGUGUGUGUGUGCAGCCUGCCCGUGGUAAGUACUCAGUGGGUAGGUUGUGUCUUUGUGACAGAAUGGAGUGUCCCACUGCUGCUGAGCAGGGUCCCUUCGGCGCCUCAGCCCCCUUCCCGGGCCUGUCCUGUCUGCAAGGAAGCCGUGUAGAAUUCACCGUGAAUGGGGUGACAAAGCAGAAGCCAGGGCACGGGUGUUCCUGCUUCCACCUCAGGCCUUCCCCCAGGUCGGCAGGCUUUGCCAGCGCUGGGCUCUUGCUUCUCGGAAAGCAAAGCCAGCUGCUUGCGUGUCCUUGGGCAGACCCUUCCCUCUCUGGUUCCGGUUUCCUCUGGCAUCAGGCGCUUCUCUGUGGGCACCCUCCCCGGGCCCGGAACUGUCCCAGGAGAGCCACAGCAGCCCGUCCAGCCCCCAGCUCAUCCCCAGGAGUGGGCACCGAGCAGCUCUCAGCACCCAGACUGGUAUCUCAAAGCCACUUGAGAGAGGCUGUCUUCCCGGGACCACAGGACUCGCCCCCGGGAAGAGCCGCACAUCUUCCUGGGCCUCCCGCCCUGCACACUCCCAAGGAGUUCCGAAGCUCUCCAAGCCCCUCUGAGUGAGAGUCCACACAGUCUCCCGCGGGCUCUCUGAGCUUCCCUGCCAGCCAGGCCAGACUCACAGCAGCCAAUCAAAGGAGGCCAGGAGUGGCCCUCACUCCUUGGGAGUGGAUCCCAGAUCAGAGGAGCCCCCCCCCCGCCACCCCCUCCUGCCUCCCCUUCUCGGUGUGUCGCUGUUUGAAGCUUAAUCAGGUGCGUACCUGGCUUCUGGUGCUGUGGCGGGGAAGCCAGGCCAGAGGCUGUGGAAGGUGCUGCAGGGCAGGUGGGCAGCUGGGACCCCUGCAGCCCGCCCACCUUCCAUCCCCUUGAGCAGGAGCAGCGGGGCUGGAGGAGCAACCCCAGAGGUCACUGUGCAAGAGGCGGCUGAGGGAGGCGUCUGAGUUCCGUCCUGAAGUGCCCCACCCAGCUGGAGGAGUGAGGCCGGGAACUCGGUACUUGGGGCUUAGUCACUCCUGACGCUUUCCUACCCGAAGGAAAGGAAAACGGCCCGGCCACCUGCCGGCUGGGGCUGGGCACCCGCCUCUAAGGGGAGAUGCGGAGAUGAGCUGCCCUGGGGCGUUGGCAGCCACCGACCAUCUUCCCAUGGAUGUGGCCGCUGCAAGCCCGCUGCCACUGGGUUUGGCCUGAUGCCUGAUGCCUGCCAGCAUCCAGGGGCUAAAGCAUGGAUUUUCUCCGUGGAAAUCAGCUCAGGGAGGCUUCUUGGGAAAGAGCCAAAAUGUGAAGAGCGUGGCAGGGGAGCGCUUGGGCCCGCAUCUGAAUGAGGGCACAGGCGUGCACUGGUGCUGGGCGGUGGUUAAGGGCAUGGCCUCUGGGGCAGACUGCCUGGGUCAAAUCCCUGCUGCGUCACUUAGUAGCUCUGUGACCACAGGCCAUUUCUGUAUCUGGAUCUCUGUCCCAUCACCUGUUAAAUGGUCCAAAAAUAGCAUCUGCUUUGGGGCACAUGAGGUUGUGAAAAAGGAGUGAAGGGCUCAGACCAGUGCCCAGCACAGAGCAAAUACUAUAUAAAUAUUUUUGCUGUUUUCUUCAUACUAUUUACUAGAAACAUGAUUUCAGUUAAGUUCACUUUAGCUCUCCCGGCCUGUUUCCCCAUCUGUAAAACAAGGAUGCAGAGUUGCCUUGAAGUGAUUAAAUAAGUUGCCAGCACAUGGUGGGUGUCCAAUAAAGAGUAGUUUCCUUCCCUGUAAAGGGAGCCAAGAUUCUGUCCCUAUUAAAACCCCCGAUCUUCUCCCAUUAAUGCCUAUGUUGUUUUACUGCUCCCAGAGGAAUGAGCUUGGAUAGAAACAGCUUGUAUUUUCAGGCUGAGGGACCCUGUAUAGCUGCUCUGCCACAGACCGUAGACGAAGUAGACAAGGCUCGUGAGAGGGCCUGCUGGAUAAUAUUCUAGGGCCAUGCCGGCGAUACUCUCUUAGGGCCGCACGCAUGGCCUCUGAACCACCCCCCUGCUUUAGGCCACCUUGGGCGCCCCCGUGUGUCGGGGCGGUGCCAGCCCCGCAGGACACUGGGAUGCACGCAGCGUGGUCCUGACCUCUGCUUGGGAGAGCAAGAUGCCAGCAUGGGACGAGAAGGGAAAGCUCGGUGUCGCUUCUCGGAGGAGCAUCGGGUACUUCUUACAAGGUCUCCUGCUCUGCUGAUCCAGAGUGGGCAGAAUUGGUGCAAAUAGAUGAGCCAAGGGUCAGGAGUGCCCCCAGGCCCAGAGAGGAACCAGGGCCCUUGAGAAGGCGGACAGUAUUGCCCACAGUUGAUAUUCUGUGGCUACUUAAAGCAAUUCAACUUAUUAAUUCAUUCAAUGGCCUCCAUCAGGGCUACUGUGUGGGGAAAGCUUCUGUAGUCUAUUUCAGAGCCACACUUUUCUCUAGUGAGCUGCCUGAUACCGAUGCAAUGUGCUGCUGCUUGUUCAAAACAAAUAACAGAAUUCCAUGUUUAACCAUACUAUUUUAUGUAUCUGCAUAUAAUGAAAAUGUAAGUGAUAUGAAUCGGUUCACAAACUCAGGAAGAAAAUUAGUAGAUAUAAACAGAAAACCCAGUGCCUCUUUGUUGCGGGUCACUUACCCUAAAUUUUCCAAAAGGCUUGCGGACUCGGAGUUCCCAGGGGGAGUUGUAACUGGGAGUUCAAAAGUCCGCACUCAGGCAGUCACCACACAAAUGUCAUCAAUCUGACAUGCCAUCGCUCCUCGCUGCCACACGGUGGCGCCCUUAACCAGUUCUGUCCCAGUGACCCGAGGAGGGAUUCGUUCCCUCGCGCUGACCCGGUUCCGCCCAGGCUUCUCCGGAUAUUUGAGCGAGAAGGAUCCACAACUCAGGUUUUCUAAGUUCAGGCGAGAGGGCUCCUCAUCAGGUUCCCAGGCGUACAGUUCGUGGCGCUUGACCAGGUCUGAUUACACCCCAGUUCCUGCCUUCCCAGCAAUGGAACAUCACGGCCACCUUCCUACGACCCUCAAGAACAUCACCUUCCCAGGGACGACCAGCGUGACCCGCGGCACCUCCCCACCUGAGCAGGAGCUCAAUGCAGGGCGCUGAUUUGAACGUGCGAUGGGACAUGCCCUCCAACAAGCACCAUAAUUUAAUUAGAUGCUUUCAUUAGGUUAGAGCAAGCCCCUGUGGUCUUGCCGUUCCAAGGUGAAGCCACCAGGAGAAAUCCCGGGGACAGGUGCAGGAAGACCGGUGAAGAGGGAAGGGCACCAUCGACUAUCGUUAAUUAGUUCAGGAAUUUACUAACUGUGGAAACCUGGGCAAGUAACUUAACCCUUGUGAACCUUAGGUUCCUUACCUGUAAAACUGGAUGAUAUUAGCACCUACCUCACAAGAAUGGUGUGGAGUUAAAUGGGAUGAUUCACGUAAAGUGCCUAACACAGUGCCUUGGACACCACAAAUAAUAAAUGA